This 228-nucleotide ribosomal RNA is filed under the name uncultured bacterium. RNAcentral describes it as "partial 16S ribosomal RNA". It matches the Rfam family "Bacterial small subunit ribosomal RNA", at positions 103 to 334 of the family's 1533-position model. The record is from RNAcentral.
CGGGUGAGUAAUGUAUAGGAACUUGCCUAGUAGUGGGGGAUAACGUGUGGAAACGCACGCUAAUACCGCAUACGCUCUACGGAGGAAAGCGGGGGAUCUUCGGACCUCGUGCUACUAGAUGGGCCUAUAUCAGAUUAGCUAGUUGGUAAGGUAAUGGCUUACCAAGGCGACGAUCUGUAGCUGGUUUGAGAGAAUGAUCAGCCACGCUGGGACUGAGACACGGCCCAG